This 767-nucleotide ribosomal RNA is filed under the name alpha proteobacterium SCGC AAA015-O14. Its description in RNAcentral is "SSU rRNA". It matches the Rfam family "Bacterial small subunit ribosomal RNA", at positions 56 to 857 of the family's 1533-position model. Lineage: Bacteria; Pseudomonadati; Pseudomonadota; Alphaproteobacteria. The record is from RNAcentral.
UGCAGUCGAACGAAGGCCCGGAGCUUGCUCCGGAUCCCUUAGUGGCGAACGGGUGAGUAACGCGUGGGAAUCUACCUAGAAGUGGGGAAUAACUGUUGGAAACGACAGCUAAUACCGCAUAAUCCCUUCGGGGCAAAGGCUUCGGCCGUUUUUAGAUGAGCCCGCGUUAGAUUAGGCUGUUGGUGAGGUAAUGGCUCACCAAACCUACAAUCUAUAGCUGGUCUGAGAGGAUGAUCAGCCACACUGGGACUGAGACACGGCCCAGACUCCUACGGGAGGCAGCAGUGGGGAAUAUUGGACAAUGGGGGAAACCCUGAUCCAGCAAUGCCGCGUGAGUGAUGAAGGCCCUAGGGUUGUAAAGCUCUUUCAGAAGUGAAGAUGAUGACGGUAACUUCAGAAGAAGCUCCGGCUAACUCCGUGCCAGCAGCCGCGGUAAUACGGAGGGAGCUAGCGUUGUUCGGAAUUACUGGGCGUAAAGGGCGUGUAGGCUGUUUGAUCAGUCAGAGGUGAAAUCCCUAAGCUCAACUUAGGAACUGCCUUUGAUACUAUCAUACUAGAGAUCGAGAGAAGUUAGCGGAAUUCCAAGUGUAGAGGUGAAAUUCGUAGAUAUUUGGAAGAACACCUGUGGCGAAAGCGGCUAACUGGCUCGCAUCUGACGCUGAGACGCGAAAGCGUGGGUAGCAAACAGGAUUAGAUACCCUGGUAGUCCACGCCGUAAACGAUGAGUGCUAGCCGUUUGUGAUUUAUCACAAGUGGUGCAGUUAACA